RNAcentral lists this ribosomal RNA (429 nucleotides) under uncultured prokaryote. Its description in RNAcentral is "bacterial SSU rRNA". It matches the Rfam family "Bacterial small subunit ribosomal RNA", at positions 355 to 774 of the family's 1533-position model. The record is from RNAcentral.
UCGAGAAGCUUCGGCAAUGGGCGAAAGCCUGACCGAGCGACGCCGCGUGAGCGAUGAAGGCCCUAGUGGUUGUAAAGCUCUGUCAGAUUGGGAAUAAAUGCCGGGGGCGAAUAACCCCUGGAGCUGAAGGUACCGUCAGAGGAAGCACCGGCUAACUCCGUGCCAGCAGCCGCGGUAAUACGGAGGGUGCAAGCGUUGUUCGGAUUCACUGGGUAUAAAGGGUGCGUAGGCGGCCUCAUAAGUCAGAGGUGAAAGCUGCCGGCUUAACUGGCAAAUUGCCUUUGAGACUGUGAGGCUUGAGUCCGGGAGAGGAAGGCGGAAUUCCAGGUGUAGCGGUGAAAUGCGUAAAUAUCUGGAGGAACACCGGUGGCGAAGGCGGCCUUCUGGUCCGGUACUGACGCUGAGGCACGAAAGCCAGGGGAGCAAACG